RNAcentral lists this ribosomal RNA (429 nucleotides) under uncultured bacterium. RNAcentral describes it as "bacterial SSU rRNA". It matches the Rfam family "Bacterial small subunit ribosomal RNA", at positions 355 to 776 of the family's 1533-position model. The record is from RNAcentral.
UGGGGAAUUUUGGACAAUGGGCGCAAGCCUGAUCCAGCAAUGCCGCGUGAGUGAAGAAGGCCUUCGGGUUGUAAAGCUCUUUUGUCAGGGAAGAAACGGUUGCAGCUAAUAUCUGUGACUAAUGACGGUACCUGAAGAAUAAGCACCGGCUAACUACGUGCCAGCAGCCGCGGUAAUACGUAGGGUGCAAGCGUUAAUCGGAAUUACUGGGCGUAAAGCGUGCGCAGGCGGUUGUGCAAGACAGAUGUGAAAUCCCUGGGCUUAACCUAGGAAUUGCAUUUGUGACUGCACGGCUAGAGUGUGUCAGAGGGGGGUAGAAUUCCACGUGUAGCAGUGAAAUGCGUAGAUAUGUGGAGGAAUACCGAUGGCGAAGGCAGCCCCCUGGGAUAACACUGACGCUCAUGCACGAAAGCGUGGGGAGCAAACAGG